GACGAACGCUGGCGGCGUGCUUAACACAUGCAAGUCGAACGAUGAAGCUGGAGCUUGCUCCGGUGGAUUAGUGGCGAACGGGUGAGUAACACGUGAGCAAUCUGCCCUUGACUCUGGGAUAACUGCGGGAAACUGUAGCUAAUACCGGAUACUUUCACUGGAAGGCAUCUUCUGGUGAAGAAAGAAUUUCGGUCAAGGAUGAGCUCGCGGCCUAUCAGCUUGUUGGUGAGGUAACGGCUCACCAAGGCGACGACGGGUAGCCGGCCUGAGAGGGUGACCGGCCACACUGGGACUGAGACACGGCCCAGACUCCUACGGGAGGCAGCAGUGGGGAAUAUUGCACAAUGGGCGCAAGCCUGAUGCAGCGACGCCGCGUGAAGGAUGAAGGCCUUCGGGUUGUAAACCUCUUUUAGCAGGGAAGAAGCGAAAGUGACGGUACCUGCAGAAAAAGCACCGGCUAACUACGUGCCAGCCGCCGCAGUAA
This 484-nucleotide ribosomal RNA is filed under the name uncultured bacterium. Its description in RNAcentral is "partial 16S ribosomal RNA". It matches the Rfam family "Bacterial small subunit ribosomal RNA", at positions 28 to 523 of the family's 1533-position model. The record is from RNAcentral.